AAUGGGCUGAUACACCAUUGCUGCAAACGCUGCAGGUCUGAAGUUUAUCUGGUUGGUUAACAGUGCGGGAUGAGAAUUUGUGGCAGUUUCUCACUGAGUUUCUCCAAGCACAGAGGAUUUGAACUGUGAUAAAUGCUGGAAGACAUCGGAUAGCUGCCAGGUGGGAUGGGUAUUGCCAUCUGCGAUUCCUUCCAGCAGCCCAAGCUCUCUCCUCAGACACUAUUUUUCAGGUAAAAUCCAGAAAUGUGAUUGGAUGAUGGAGCCAACCAAAUGAACAGCC
RNAcentral lists this long non-coding RNA (280 nucleotides) under Gallus gallus (chicken). The record is from RNAcentral. Lineage: Eukaryota; Metazoa; Chordata; Aves; Galliformes; Phasianidae.